GUUAGUUUCUCCUCUCACUUUGUUUAUCUUAUCUAAUCUUAUCAUGCAAGGUUUUAAUUAAAUUGUCAUCACUUUCAAUCACAAUGUGAGAAAUUACAGACAAAUACAUUGUAAUGGUGUUGUGGAGCAUUGUUUUAAAACCUUGAUAUCAUGUAUGGAACAUUUUGUCUAAUGCAAAAUUUGAUUUGAGACAGAUGUGUGCUGAAGGACCGCACGAAGCCAAUUAUCUUCACCAUGGCAAGGUUGGACCGUGUGAAGAACAUCACAGGACUUGUGGAGUGGUAUGGUAAGAAUGAGAAGCUGAGGGAGUUGGUGAACCUUGUGGUUGUUGCUGGAGACAGGAGGAAGGAGUCUAAGGACUUGGAAGAGAAGGCCGAGAU
RNAcentral lists this long non-coding RNA (380 nucleotides) under Phaseolus vulgaris (common bean). Its description in RNAcentral is "long non-coding RNA (PVUL_LNC004026)". The record is from RNAcentral. Lineage: Eukaryota; Viridiplantae; Streptophyta; Magnoliopsida; Fabales; Fabaceae.